GGCCUACGGGGCGCAGCAGUGGGGAAUAUUGCACAAUGGGGGAAACCCUGAUGCAGCGACGCCGCGUGAGUGAAGAAGUAUUUCGGUAUGUAAAGCUCUAUCAGCAGGGAAGAAAAUGACGGUACCUGACUAAGAAGCCCCGGCUAACUACGUGCCAGCAGCCGCGGUAAUACGUAGGGGGCAAGCGUUAUCCGGAUUUACUGGGUAUAAAGGGAGCGUAGACGGUGAUGCAAGUCAGAAGUGAAAGCCCGCGGCUCAACUGCGGGACUGCUUUUGAAACUGUAUGACUAGAGUGCAGGAGAGGU
RNAcentral lists this ribosomal RNA (305 nucleotides) under uncultured bacterium. RNAcentral describes it as "bacterial SSU rRNA". It matches the Rfam family "Bacterial small subunit ribosomal RNA", at positions 335 to 658 of the family's 1533-position model. The record is from RNAcentral.